GGUCUGCAGAUGCUGGAGAUCAGAGCUGAAAAUGUGUUGUUGGAAAAGCGCAGCAGGUCAGGGAGCAUCCUAGGAACAGGAAAUUCGACGUUUCGGGCAUAAGCCCUUCAUCAGGAAUGAGGAGCUGAGCAGAACCAUAGGGUGCACAGCUGGCUAAGAGAGCAUCGGUACUGCAACAGGAAUGUCUGAGAUGCCUAAGCCUAGAGGAGAUCACUAAAGUGACAAGCAUGCCCUCUUGAAAUGAAUGCGAACGUUGGGUUUGUCUUCCUAACAACUGAAUCUGCAUGUUCACCUUAAGACAAUCCUCAACUGGAACUCCCAAAUCCCUUUGUGCUUCAGAAUUCUAGGCCUUGCCCCAUUUAGAAAAUAGUCUACACUGCUAUUCUUCUGACCAAAGUGCAUAACCUCACUUGUUGCCACAUUGUAUUCAAUCUGACAUUUCUUUGUCCACUCUCCUAGCCUGUUCUAGUCGUUCUGCACCUCCCCACUUCCCCAACACUA
Hemiscyllium ocellatum (epaulette shark) is the source of this 501-nucleotide long non-coding RNA. RefSeq lists it as uncharacterized. NCBI's taxonomy places the organism in Eukaryota, Metazoa, Chordata, Chondrichthyes, Orectolobiformes, Hemiscylliidae. The record is from RefSeq and is a predicted model, not a curated record. The transcript is spliced from 3 exons.